UGCAGAUUAACUGUUUGUGAGUGAUGCAAUAUUAGUCGAACACAACAUAUUUUCCGAUAUGAUAAAGCGAGAUCUGUCAAUACGUGUAUGAAAAGAUAGAUAAUCGAAAGAGAAUAACAAUGAACUGCGAAAUAAAGAACAUUGGACGGAAAGUCUGAGACACGAUUUGAUAUUGAGUAUUAGUACAAAACUAAAUAAUAGUAAAACGGAAUGGAGUGAAAGCUAUGGCUAAUUAUUGAACCGUAUAAUUUCAAAAUUAUUGUUUGCCACUCUUUUUUUUUUUUGAGACGAGAUGAUUAUACGAGUCUGAUAUGGCGCUAUAUGCGAUGCGUACAUUAUACUCCACAAUGUCUUAAACGUAUCACGGAGAUGAUUAAUGAAUAGGAACUGGCUGGCGGAUGAUUUUCAUAGCCUCGGGCCGCAGUACGAACCGGUAAGAACAAAACCAAAGUACAUGAGAUCUAAACGGAUAGUAUCAGAGGGAUAAGAUUUUUAUCUUUUCUUUUUAAACCUUAGCCUUCUUUAUUAACGGGUUGGUGAACACGAAACGCCACUUAAAAUAUAGACAGUAUAAUUCUACAGGAUGCUGCCGAAUGAGACACACGCCACCGUAUACAUUACCAUACUCAAUGAAACUACUAUUUCGAGUCCAUUAUUGUGCCACUAUAAUUCCACCUUAUGAUGAUUUUUCACAUGAUAUUUUUUGUCGAGCCUAAGGAAUACGAUCGAAUAGUAACUUAAUCAAAUCGUAAUAAACAUUCUGAAGGACAAAACCCAAAUUUUUCAUAAAAAUAACUAGUAUUUAUUGUUACUAUAAAUAUCUUCUACAAUAACAAAUCGUCAACGUUAACGAGAUCUGUUGGUAUGACUUUAAGAGAUAUUCAAACAUACAUUUUUUUAUUGAUUUCUGAUAGCGUUUAACGCAUUUCGUCUCAUUUCUGUAGUUCUAAAGAGAUGCACUUAACUAAUGGAGAUUAUCGUAUACCUCUUAAAAAUUAUAUUCAUUUUGACAAUAUUUGUCAAAAACACGAUGUCCAAGAUGUAAUAGUAAUAAAUUUUGCAAUACAUUGGUCUGUGUCGAGUGAGUCGCUCUCAAAUGAUACUUCUACGCGGUUCAAGUCAGAGACAACCAGUUAAGAUCCGAGAAGCGCAAGCAGGAGUAAAAAAUGUGUCGGCUAAUACACCAUUGACACAUUAAAAAGUGAAUAUCGAUUUCAUAUAGACAAAAACAUGUGCGUACACACAAUACGCGUAUGACGUACAUUUGCCGACCCAUAGGGUCACCAGACGGAUGUACCGGAUAGUGGUACGCGCCGGUUGUACGGGUCAUGAGUGUGCUGUUUUUACAUUGCAGUUCGACCUUGCCGACCAAGUGCUAAAUCGAACACCGAUUUGUUAAAAAACCAAAACGGUUAUUAAUAAAACUCGUAGCCGAAUGUGUACAAGUAAAACGGCUCGGUCACUGUGAAUCGUUGUUUUUUGCGUGUAGCUCCGUGCCGACUGCCGCCAAUGUUUGUUUAAAACGUUCGACGACGACAACAACAAGGAAAAAUAUGCGCUACCUAUUUUUCGUUGGAAAAUAUAGCGAAUAAUUUUGUUUUUUAAUGUCCUCCGUUUGGCACCAUCGCCCAGGAACUCGGUGGCCGCACGCGCACUUUACGGUCGUGUCCGCCUGUUCAACACACAACGAUGUUUGUAAAUUCGUUGCUAUCAUCAAAAUAAUAUUGACGCGCGUGUGAGCACGUGCGUUUCAAAACGUCUAAGCUGAUCGAACGCGGUUAGGGAAAAUAAAUGAAAUACAUAAUGCCGACAGCACUCGGUAGACGUGUGAUCGACAUUAUUAUGUUAAUACGUUGCGCGUCGUUUCAAAGUACAACGAAAAAAUAAAUUAAAAAACACGUUACGGCUUGCGACGGACGGCGGCGGGUGCCGGUGAAUAUUGUUGUGUGCCGAUAACCCAAUCACAAAUUACAGACUAGACGUACACUUUUCAAAGGCCAACG
Long non-coding RNA from Daktulosphaira vitifoliae (grape phylloxera), 2003 nucleotides. RefSeq lists it as uncharacterized. The transcript has 4 exons. NCBI's taxonomy places the organism in Eukaryota, Metazoa, Arthropoda, Insecta, Hemiptera, Phylloxeridae. The record is from RefSeq and is a predicted model, not a curated record.